UGGGCCUCUGGAUCUUCUGCUGCUUGGGUUUUUUCUCUAUCGGAGGGUUCGUCUCUGAGUUCUUGCUCUUGGAUUCAAGCACCACGAGUUUCUCGCUUGUUUGAGUUUUGGUCUGCUUUAUGAUGAUGGGUUUGGAUGUUUUGUCAUUGGGUGUGCUUGGUUUGAGUAGAUCUGAGGAUUUCUUGGUGGUACCAGAACUGGACUUGGUUGAAUUUGAGGCCUUUGAGGUGGAAUUGAGCUUCUUGAGCUGUUUCGUGGCAGAGAUAGUGGGUGUCGUUUUCGUGGAGUUUGAGGAUUUUGCCGUGGAAUUGAGCUUCUUUAUCUGGGCUUUGUUGAGGAUAGUGGGUGUCGUUUUGGUCGAGUAAGUGGAGGGUUUGACGAGUUUGGUUUGGUUCUUGCUGGAAGAGGUCCCAUCGAGCUUCUUCUUUGGUUGAUCUUCUUUCUGUACCUCUUUGACGAGUUUGGUCUGGUUCUUGGUGGACAAGCUAGUGCUGGGUGUCUUCUUGGGCUGCUCUUCUUUCUCAAUCUCAAACACUCUCCUCCUCCCAAGAAACUGUGUUCUCCGAGGUUGGGCCUCGGAGCAGGCACAAACAAGAGUAGAAGCAAAGAGAAAUAAAACAAGAUAGAGCACAAGUACCUGUCUGAAACUGAAGUACCGAAGUGGAGCCAUG
RNAcentral lists this long non-coding RNA (671 nucleotides) under Vitis vinifera (wine grape). Its description in RNAcentral is "long non-coding RNA (VVIN_LNC007522)". Lineage: Eukaryota; Viridiplantae; Streptophyta; Magnoliopsida; Vitales; Vitaceae. The record is from RNAcentral.